RNAcentral lists this ribosomal RNA (895 nucleotides) under Lactobacillus delbrueckii subsp. bulgaricus. RNAcentral's name for it is "partial 23S ribosomal RNA". It matches the Rfam family "Bacterial large subunit ribosomal RNA", at positions 323 to 1223 of the family's 2925-position model. The record is from RNAcentral. Lineage: Bacteria; Bacillati; Bacillota; Bacilli; Lactobacillales; Lactobacillaceae.
CAGAGGAUAGCAGAAGCGUUUGGGAAAGCGCGCCAGAGAGGGUGAGAGCCCCGUAAGCGAAAUCCAAAGAAGGCCUAUCAGUAUCCUGAGUAGGGCGGGACACGUGAAAUCCCGUUUGAAUCCGCGAGGACCAUCUCGCAAGGCUAAAUACUAACCAGUGACCGAUAGUGAACCAGUACCGUGAGGGAAAGGUGAAAAGAACCCCGGGAGGGGAGUGAAAGAGAACCUGAAACCGUGUGCCUACAAGUAGUCAGAGCCCGUUAACGGGUAAUGGCGUGCCUUUUGUAGAAUGAACCGGCGAGUUGCGUUAGUCAGCAAGGUUAAGUCAGAAAAGACGGAGCCGUAGCGAAAGCGAGUCUGAAGAGGGCGAGCAGUUGGCUGACGCAGACCCGAAACCAAGUGACCUACCCAUGACCAGGUUGAAGGCGCGGUAAAACGCGCUGGAGGACCGAACCCACGUAAGUUGAAAAUUGCGGGGAUGAGUUGUGGGUAGCGGUGAAAUUCCAAACGAACUUGGAGAUAGCUGGUUCUCUCCGAAAUAGCUUUAGGGCUAGCCUCGCAAAGAGGAUGCUGGAGGUAGAGCUCUGUUUGGACUAGGGGCCCGUCAAGGGUUACUGAAUUCAGAUAAACUGCGAAUUCCAGACAUUUAUGUGCGGGAGUCAGACUGCGAGUGAUAAGAUCCGUAGUCGAAAGGGAAACAGCCCAGAUCACCAGUUAAGGUCCCAAAAUUCAUGCUAAGUGGAAAAGGAUGUGGAGUUGCGCAGACAACUAGGACGUUGGCUCAGAAGCAGCCAUCAUUCAAAGAGUGCGUAAUAGCUCACUAGUCGAGUGACGCCGCGCCGAAAAUUUACCGGGGCUAAGCAUGAUACCGAAACUGUGGAUGUGCAUUUAUGCA